GACGAACGCUGGCGGCGUGCUUAACACAUGCAAGUCGAACGAUGAAGCCUUAGCUUGCUUUGGUGGAUUAGUGGCGAACGGGUGAGUAACACGUGAGCAACGUGCCCAGGACUCUGGAAUAACCGCGGGAAACCGUGGCUAAUACCGGAUAGGUGCCGAGGCCGCAUGGUCUUCGGUUGGAAAGUUUUUGCGGUUCUGGAUCGGCUCACGGCCUAUCAGCUUGUUGGUGGGGUAAUGGCCUACCAAGGCGACGACGGGUAGCCGGCCUGAGAGGGUGACCGGCCACACUGGGACUGAGAAACGGCCCCGACUCCUACGGGGGGCAGGAGUGGGGAAUAUUGCACAAUGGGCGGAAGCCUGAUGCAGGAACGCCGCGUGGGGGAUGACGGCCUUCGGGUUGUAAACCUCUUUUAGGAGGGAAGGAGCGCAAGUGACGGUACCUGCAGAAAAAGCACCGGCUAACUACGUG
This 469-nucleotide ribosomal RNA is filed under the name uncultured bacterium. RNAcentral's name for it is "partial 16S ribosomal RNA". It matches the Rfam family "Bacterial small subunit ribosomal RNA", at positions 28 to 507 of the family's 1533-position model. The record is from RNAcentral.